RNA transcript from Anguilla rostrata (American eel), 3606 nucleotides. It is a transcript of the gene named metallo-beta-lactamase domain containing 1, with no coding region annotated. Lineage: Eukaryota; Metazoa; Chordata; Actinopteri; Anguilliformes; Anguillidae. The record is from RefSeq and is a predicted model, not a curated record. The transcript has 5 exons.
UUCAGACUAGAAUCUAUGGUUCCAACCUGUUGUAAUGGUCCAUAAAGCUAGCCAAACCUCAAGCUAGUGGUGACUGUUUCGGCAAAGAGCACAGAUCUCUGGUUACAGAAAAUAUCGUGAUCAGACUGAUCAUAUUUCCUCUUUUUGCAACAGAAUAAAUAUAGCUAAAUAAACAGGUGAGCGCUUAAAAGCUUAUUUUCGAUCUACCCACCGCCAUAAUGGCCCUGGCAGAGAAAAGCAAUACAGCUUGUGCUCUUACAGCCGAGCUCUUGACAGUUGGUCCGGAUAUAAUGGGACAGCCGUACAGUAUCUCCGUGUUAAAAGAGGGCUACUGCUUGCCACAGGCGAAUGGAUCGACACGCGCGGACGGCACUAUAACUCUGCUGCAGGGACCAAAGACAAUUCUGGUAGAUACAGGCGGACCCUGGGAUCGGGAUUUUCUUUUGCGGCGAUUAAAGGAGAAAAACAUUAGCCCAGAUGACAUAAACAUUGUAGUCGGCACUCAUGGACACUCGGACCAUGUGGGGAAUUUGGGGCUAUUUCCUGGAGCGACAUUGGUUGUGGGAUGUGACAUUAGUCAAGGAGACCUCUACCUGCCCAACCAGCUAGCUGAGGGAGAACCAUUUCCUAUUGAUGAACACGUGUCAAUACUGCCAACACCAGGUCACACUGGGCGGGAUGUAAGCGUGCUGGUAAAAGGAACCUCAGUGGGUACUGUGCUGGUGGCAGGGGACUUGUUUGAAUGCUGCACUGAUGAGGACACCUGGCGGGAGCUUAGUGAGAACCCAGCGGUACAGGAGGUCAACCGGCAAAAGGCAUUGCAGAUUGCUGAUGUGAUCAUCCCAGGACAUGGUGGCCCAUUCAGAGUGCGCAUGGAUGUGGGGGACAGUAAUGGAAGUUACCUGACUCAGCGGGACUCCUAGAUAUGUUGCUAAAAACCUGAAGGUGACUAAUGGGCUGUUUGGCUGGCUGUUCAGGACCUGCAACAGCAAGGCCCAAUCAGCAUGAAGUCGACUGCUCCCUCCUGAGACCUAAAAGGCAAGAAACUAAAUGCUGUUCCACGUGAGCAACAGCUGCCUGGGACCCCCGGUGGACAUGGACAGAAGUGCAUGUACAUGUUGUCUGGCAGGCACAGCAAUACAAAGCAACUAUUAUGUUAUGGUGCAGUUCUACAGUUUAGAAUAUGUAGUUUUAUUUAUUUUUAAAUGAAUAAAUUACUUAAUGUGUGUAAUAUUUGUGGACAUUUUUUACAUUGACGGAUUUAAGGUAUGUAUUUAAAAAAUAUAUUUGGUAAAGUACAUUAUAUUAUAGAGUAGACAUUUGUUUUGUGUUUUAUUUUAAUUUACAGGCUGUUCAAACCUUUGUCCAAGUACAUUCUUAGAUAAUACAUGGUAAUGCAUGGGUAAUACAUGUAGACUAAUACUUGUGUGUCUGCUAAGAAAUUAAACUUUUUUCAGAGCUUCUGGAACUUGUUUAUCCUGUUUUCUUAUACUGCUCUACCCAUUUACAGGAAUGCAAGGAAACCAAGCAAGUAUUUCAGAACACUUUCACAAUAAAAAUCUGACUUGCGCUGCUCUAUCUCUGUCUGAUUUCCCCCCCACAGGCAUGGAAAGGAAAGUCUUUGGCAAUCAGGGUCACGCUGACCAUGUCCUGGCGUUUGCUCUCCUUUGAAGGUUUUAUUACUUUAUCUUUCUAUUUUAGCCCCAGCUUGGCCAAAAUAGAAAGAUCAUCUCCUUUUAAAUUUAAAUGUGUAUUUAAUUGAAAUCAUAUUAUUAUUAAUUUCUAUAAAGAUAAAGGUCGUUGAGGCUUGAUAACUGCAAUCUGAAUUCAGUUCCAGUUUCAAGUGGAAACCAAUGCAGUGCAAUUUGGUUUUGUUGCAUGGGAAAUAUUUUGCCUGAUGGUGGAGAUUGCAACUGGUGGGAUUUAACAAGUAUUUAACAAGUAACUACAUAUAUCACGUCUCGUUUUUUUCUCCAGUUUUUUUCCAUAGCUGAGCUGGAUAGCUCCUAACAUUCAUGUUUCGUCUCAUUUUAAAGACGACAAGACAAUGAAUAUUUUGAUUAUAACAUCAAAGUGCUUAGCCCUACUUCCAACAACAUACAUGUAAGGCUACUAUAAUAUGUACAUUUGGCAACCAUCAGAUAAGACAGUCCCUGUCUGACCCUUCUCCCACACCUCACCCAUCUGUGCAGCCAUUCUCCCGGUCUCUUUCAACCGCUCCCUAGCCCCCUCUUCCAACAGCAUAAAAUGUGGACCUUUCUUUACUUUGAGUCUUGAGUUUUUGUGUACUUAACUUCAGCCAGUUAACAUCUGUUGUGGUGGGCAUUCAGGGGUUGAUAUCUGCUGUUACCAUCUGGAGAAUGUAAAUCUUCUGUCUGGGCCUUGCAUUUCUUGGUGUUUGGUGUGCUCAGGGUUUGAAAUUUUUGUCUUACAGCUCAUCUGGCAGUUUUACAUUCUCAUUCCUGGCUUUUUAGAAUAUUCAACUGUCUUUUGGUUUUUGAGCUUUUGAUCUUGGUUUUCUUGGGAUGAUCUUGUGAGAAUCAAGCGGAAGUUUGGUAUUCUCUUUCAUUACUUUUGUGACAAUAACCUGUCCAUGUAUGUAACAUCUGUUAUUUGUUAAGGUAGUUUGAACUUUAGUCUUUAGAUUAGACCUUGAAUUGUUUUUUCUUGUAACUUAAUACAUUUCUUCUUUUUAAUCUGGUUGUGAGUUGUACAUUUUGAUAAAGGUUGAUAUAACAGGUUGCUCUGCCUAUCAACAAAUCUGAUGACUUAAUUGAUCAUUAAUGGCUUUAAUAAUUGCCAAAUUACAUCAAAUAAAUAUAUUUAAUAUGUUGGGUAAGUGAGAGGUUUUAACUGUUGACACAGUGUGUUUGGUAUUCAGUGCUAGACUGCUGGAGUGAGAAUGUAAACAUAUUUCACUCAAUCCUCAUGGUUCCUACAAUUACAUGACCAGAAUUGUUUUUGUUAUGAAGUUACGGGAGCCGACAAAGUGGAAAAGUAAAACAAGCAACAAAAAAAAGGCAAUGGUUUCAGUCCAUGCGAUUUUCCUCAGAGGAGUACUUCAUUACAUUCUUUAGAUAUUUUAAAUGUUUCUGUUUGAAAAGCAGAAGAACACAUGUAAUGUUUAACAUAACAUUAUCAACAAAUCGGGUAACUUGACUAAUGUCAUGAAUGUAUAGUGAAGGAGAUGGACACACUGGUUUAUGCAGAGGGCCAUACAGGACAUUGCCAUAGAGAAAGAAAAAAAUAACAGUGACAUUACAGGAAGUAUGUCAAAUAUGUUCAGUUCCUCAUUUAUGCCACUAGGGUGUAGUAUUUUAAUGUAACUCGUAUCUGGAUUCAUAUUGCAAUAAUAUUUGUUCCAAGUUAGCUGCCCUAUGAUGAAGGAGAGCAAUAUCAACACCACAGAACACAAAAUUCAACAAAUGUUUCUGUCUACAAUGUUUCACCCUCUGGGUCAAGCCAAGAGACUUAAAUGAACUUCUUUUUAGGUGCUUGUGACUUGUAUACUGCAGACCCGAUGGAGAUCUGAUAGACCAAAAUAUUUGCACUUGUUUUGUCUAUAUGUGAGCUUAAAUAAACUGAUGUUGACUUUGUGAAGACUGA